This 58-nucleotide transfer RNA is filed under the name Apaloderma vittatum (bar-tailed trogon). It matches the Rfam family "tRNA", at positions 8 to 63 of the family's 71-position model. From Rfam's summary of the family: Transfer RNA (tRNA) molecules are approximately 80 nucleotides in length. Their secondary structure includes four short double-helical elements and three loops (D, anti-codon, and T loops). Lineage: Eukaryota; Metazoa; Chordata; Aves; Trogoniformes; Trogonidae. The record is from Rfam by way of RNAcentral.
UAGCUCAGUCAGUUGAGCAUAGCGCUAACAACGCCAAGGUCACGGAUUCGAUUCCCGU